Eriocheir sinensis (Chinese mitten crab) is the source of this 904-nucleotide long non-coding RNA. RefSeq lists it as uncharacterized. The transcript is spliced from 8 exons. Lineage: Eukaryota; Metazoa; Arthropoda; Malacostraca; Decapoda; Varunidae. The record is from RefSeq and is a predicted model, not a curated record.
GUAGUAUCGCGACUUAUUUCCCCGAGGAGGUAUUUCUCGCACACACCUGGAAGCCACUGUCAUCCGUGAAGGGAGUCGGCUCUUAUAUUUUUGUGUUUUUUGAAGCGAAUUAUCCUGUUGCCGAGGGAGCCAUGCAUCUGGAAACGGCUGGGGAAGGAGACGGUGGCUGAGUGGUUAGCGUGCCGGUCCUGCGUUCGCUACGUCAUGGAUGAUGAGGGUUUGAAUCUGUCGCUGCCACAGACUACUUGUCCUGAAGACCACCACCAUCAUCCUGGACUGUAUGGGACUGUCCAAGGGAAAGCAAGAUGGGGCCGCUAUAAACACUUGCCGGCUUGGGCCCACCACCAGGCCCAGCCGAGGGAGCUUCACGUUGGUGGUCGGGUGUAGUUCCGGUGCCCCGAGAAUAGGGGAACCACCUGCUAAACCCUGGGGUGAAGCCUGCACCUCAAGCAUGGCCAGCGGUUGCGGGAGUCUCCGAAACAACCGUUGGUGUAGCAGUGCCGGGAGGUGCCAUAACACAGGGCACUCCUCACCUCAACAACAGUCUCUUCACCGACAAGUAAUUCUUCACCAACAAGCUUUUCAGCAGCUUGGAGAAAUAGAGGAAGAAGAGGAGGAAGAAGAAGAGAAGAUGAAGAGGAAGAAGAGGAGGAGGAGGAUAAGGACUUGGUUGGUGUAGCAGUGCUGGGAGGUGCCAUAACACAGGGCACUCCUCACCUCAACAACAGUCUCUUCACCGACAAGUAAUUCUUCACCAACAAGCUUUUCAGCAGCUUGGAGAAAUAGAGACAAGAGGAGGAGGAAGAGGAGGAGGAGGAAGAAGAGGAGGAGGAGGACUUUGAAGACUGACAGACAGACAUCAUUUCAGUGAUGAAAGAGGAAGAGGAAGAGGAGGAAGAGGAGG